Molecule: ribosomal RNA, 576 nt
Filed under: uncultured eukaryote
Lineage: Eukaryota
Description: bacterial SSU rRNA
Rfam family: Eukaryotic small subunit ribosomal RNA
Source: RNAcentral
GGUUGUAUUUAUUAGAUUAAACACCAACCGCUCUCUGAGCGUCUCAGGUGAAUCAUGAUAACUCAUCGAAUCGCAGCGGCCGUGUGCCGGCGAUACUUCAUUCAAAUUUCUGCCCUAUCAGCUUUCAACCGUAGGGUAUUGGCCUACGUUGGCGGUAACGGGUAACGGAGGAUUAGGGUUUGAUUCCGGAGAGGGAGCCUUAGAAACGGCUACCACAUCCAAGGAAGGCAGCAGGCGCGCAAAUUACCCAAUGACAAAUCGUCGAGGUAGUGACAAGAAAUAACAACAGAUGGUACACAUCGUACUACCUGAUUGGAAUGGUCUCCGAUUCUUAUCUGGGGAGAGUAACUACGGGAGGGCAAGCCUGGUGCCAGCAGCCGCGGUAAUUCCAGCUCCCGUGGCGUACACUAAAUUUGUUGCGGUUGAAAAGCUCGUAGUCGGAUUUCUGCAAAAGCUUGACGGUGGGCCGCCCUGGGGUGGUGCAAUCAGUUUACAGCUUCUGCAUCCUCUCACAAACUGCUCUGGCCUUCGUUGGUUGGAGUUUCAGGGCGUGAGACUUUUACUUUGAGAAAAACA